UGGCUCAGUAAGUAGAGCAUGGUGUUUGCAACGCCAGGGUUGUGGGUUCGAUUCCCAC
This is a non-coding RNA of Salmo salar (Atlantic salmon), 58 nucleotides long. NCBI's taxonomy places the organism in Eukaryota, Metazoa, Chordata, Actinopteri, Salmoniformes, Salmonidae. The record is from Rfam.